RNAcentral lists this ribosomal RNA (767 nucleotides) under uncultured bacterium. RNAcentral's name for it is "bacterial SSU rRNA". It matches the Rfam family "Bacterial small subunit ribosomal RNA", at positions 8 to 796 of the family's 1533-position model. The record is from RNAcentral.
AGAGUUUGAUCAUGGCUCAGAAUGAACGUUAGCGGCGCGCCUGAUGCAUGCAAGUCGUACGGUCUAAUAAUUCGCAAGAGUAAUUAGAUAGUGGCGAACGGCUGAGUAACGCGUAAGUAACCUACCUCUAAGUGGGGGAUAACCUGCCGAAAGGCAAGCUAAUACCGCAUGUGCUGAAAAGCGUGAGCUUUUCAGUAAAGCUUCGGCGCUUGGAGAGGGGCUUGCGUCUGAUUAGCUAGUUGGUUGAGGUAAUGGCUCACCAAGGCGAUGAUCAGUAGCUGGCUAAGAGGACGACCAGUCAGACAGGGACUGAGACACGGCCCUGACUCCUACGGGAGGCAGCAGCAAGGAAUUUUGCGCAAUGGGCGAAAGCCUGACGCACGCCCGCGUGGGGGAUGAAGGCUUUCGAGUUGUAAACCCCUUUUCCUGAGAAAGAAUAAUGACGGUACUCAGGGAAUAAGUCUUGGCUAACUACGUGCCAGCAGCCGCGGUAAUACGUAGAAGGCAAACGUUAUUCGGAUUUACUGGGCGUAAAGCGGGUGUAGACGGUUACUUAAGUCGGUUGUGAAAUCUCCUGACUCAAUUAGGAGGGGACAAUCGAAACUGGAUGACUUGAGGGCAGCAGAAGAAAGUGGAAUUCCCGGUGUAGCGGUGAUAUGCGUAGAUAUCGGGAGGAAUACCAGUGGCGAAGGCGACUUUCUAGGUUGUUCCUGACGUUGAGGCCCAAAAGCGUGGGGAGCGAAACGGAUUAGAUACCCUAGUAGUCC